UUUCUCGAUACUAGUUGAGACAAAUUCACGUCAAGUAAUGGCGGCGUUUUCUGUGUUGCGAACUAGAGUUUUUGUCGUUCUCUUUCCAAAACAUGAUCAUGAUUCUAUCUUUUGAUAAUGAAACUUCAUCAGGUAUUAACAGGGGCGACGAAUACAUUCGACGACAAGGCUGCAAUCGCCGUUGGUAGUGUAGAUGAUCACCCUUUCACGGCCUAUGCAUCUGGCUGUGAUGUUGUUAUCCUGUUGAGUGGCUUCACUCGAGUGCAGAUUAUUCCUGGUUCACUGUAUGGUUAUAAAGAAGUUAGCUGUAUUGACUGCUGUGAUUCUGAUGGAAAGAUUGCAGCAUCUUAUGGAAAACAGGUUAUCAUAUUUGAUGCCAAAUCAGCAACAGCUGGUAACAACCAUGGCUUUCCUUUUCAUUGGGAAAAAUCUGCAGAACUUUGCCUAAACUUUAGGAUUACUUGUUUGUCAUGGAACAGAGAAGGAAAACGACUACUUGUGGGAGGGGAUUUUAUUCAGCUGUGGAGCUGUGAAGACUACCAUGAACAGAGAAACUUAUUAGAGGAGAAUGUGUUUUGGACAUGUAUUUGGACAUGCAAGCCUUCUGUUCCAGUUCACCUUCUGCAGUUUUCUCCUGAUGGCCAGUAUUUCUGUUCAGUUGGAAAGCAUGAUCGUCUUAUCAAAGUGUGGUUUGACAACAACCAAGUCAAUCCACAAUAUGAGACUGAAGAGCUGCAAGAAAGAGGACAGUUUCUGAACAGUGAUGUUUUAGAUUACACUUUUGUGUAUCUGGCUCAUCCUGGACCAGUGACAGGAAUUUCUUGGAGAAAAACCAGCAAAUAUAUACCUGUCUCAACUGUAGCCAACUGUCUUCUUACUUCAUGCACUGACAAUGUCUGCCGCAUCUGGUGUGAGUCCAUCAAGCAAGGUGACCACAAUGCCUCACCCUCCCACCCCACAAAGAAUCAUCACAAGUGCAUGUGGCAUUUAUCACAGCAACCGAAAAAGCCUGUUGCCAAGGAUGACACAGCAGAAGAUCCUCUACUGAGAUACCAACUGCCAUCAGCCUUGCAAUUUCACAUUGCUGUUGCGGUGAAUGCUCUGAAUGAUAUUCCAAUCCUGUCCUCGCUUGAUUCCAUCUCAAGCGGUAAUCACAGUAGUUUUGUUCUUCACUGGUUGAACAACAAAGAAAUUCAGUUUACCAUGGCGGCUGAGUCGUGUCUUGGCGCACCAGUUCUCGCUCUUGAAGUGGAGAGUAUAGACAUUAGCGAUGACUCUUCCAACAGUGACAGUGAGGCAGAGCUCUUGGUGCCGAGUGACGAGGAAUUUCCAGAAUCUUACAAACCUGUCAAGAAAGAAAUCCCUGCACCAGAGAUGGCGAAAGAAAUCAAGAUCCCUUCCACACCGAGACCAAGAACUCCUUUAGAUUACUUAAAACACAUCCAAGAUGACACACUUAGUGACGUUGAGGAAUCAAGUACUUACGCCGCAGUGGUAUCCUCAUGUAUUGGUAAUCUUCUCCACGAGUGGUACAACAGCCCUGACACACUUCUCGCUGUUCAUCCCGUAGAUGGUUCACUUCUGGUGUGGCUUGUGGAAUGGCUUGACGUACAGAAUGGUGUACCAUACAGACAGCCUCAAGUUAGCUUUUUAUCACGCAUCCCCAAUGUUCUUCCCCCUGCAGAUGCGAACUCUUUAUUGAACAAGCUCAUUGUUUAUUGUCCGAGGGAAGACAAAGUCCGAGCUCUGAGGAACGUGAUGGUCAACAAGAGUGACGUAGUCUUAGCAGGUCAGCGGACGGCAACAAAAGCCAACGGAACGGGACUCAACAUUUCCCGUUCAAGUUUUGGUAAUUUGACAGGAGGGACGCAUCCUACGGCUAUCAUGAUUUCAACGCACAGAGACGGUGCUCUGAACCUCUGGCAACUUGCAUUUGCUGACAACUCAUCAUUUUCUACUGUUGUUAGUGUUUCUCAUCAUGCCCGCAGAUGUGGACAUAGAUAUCCCAUCACUAACAUCUUAGCUCAUCCAGAGCUGCCCCUGAUGCUUUCCACGUCAAGUCACGAAAUGGAAGCGAGAAAGGGCGAAGAGAAUUUGAACAAUGUGGAGUUACCAAGUAUGAUAGAUGACAAAAGCAAAACUCGAAAGCUACAUUGCAACGAACUCAUUGUGUGGAAGGUGGAGAGCGUGUCACCGUUACGGCAGAGUGGUGGAGUCAUGGAGCUCACGCGUGUAAACUCCUCUCGCCCAAAUGCUUUUCUAAACAUAGCUUGGGUUCCAACCCUUUUCUCUCACUCCCUGAUCUCAUUCGACAGCAGUACAUCGAUUCCGCCCCAUGCUGUCGCUCCUUGUGCGUGUUUUUUGGCCUUAGAUGGGACUUGUUACAGAUUUUAUCAAGUGAUCUUGGAUGCCAGAACUUUACAAGGUUAUAUAUCAAGCAACAAGACCAGAACACGUUCAACUCUGUAUUCAAGUGGUAGUGAAGGGAGUUUAGACUCAUUAGAUUUUGAAAGCCCCAGCAGUUCAGUUCCUGUUGAGUGCUUCAUUGAGUCAAUAGUCAGUAGACAAUCUGGCGCAACACCUGGCUGUAUUCUGAAGCUUUGUUCGUUAGCUGACUCUAAGGAUGUCCUACGAGAGCCAUUAUUACUGCACGUUUUCACAGAGAGCUCCGUAAAGUCCUCUUGUUUCUUUUCCUCUAACGAGAAACCGAGUAGUGAGAAUGAGGAAGAUCAUCAACAAAGUUCGCACAGAUCUGAAGAUACUUUUUACGUGGUCGGUGUUGAGAACAUCAACGAUGAGCAAAGUGAUACUGUGUCUAUAAUUUACAUGUGGCAGGUCACUGUCACUGCUACCAAACCAGAAACGAGUCUGAAAGGAUCAGGCUUGGAGUCGCUAUCGACCUACCCAGAGGUUAUACAGCCUUUAAGUAGAAGCAACAGUAGCGCUUCCAACAGGAGUGCGAGUCCCCUAAACUUGCCACAAUCAGGGCACGUGACUAGUAGUAUCGUAUCAAGGUGUGUUUGUCGUCAGAAGCUUCCGCUUCCUAGUGGAACGACAAUUAAAACAGCUACCAGAGCUGCUGAUAAGAUGUCGUCCUCUGCGGUAAAUCCGACUUGUCCAGCGCGGUAUUUGUUCACGUCGUCGUGUUCAGAUGGGAAGGUGAGGUUUUGGUCAUGCAGGGAAAUUGUUUCAGAGGGUCGGUUCACGUGGGAAGAGACUUCAUGGCUGUCAGAUGGCAGGAAAUGUGCUCAUUCCACGGAGCAUUCAGACAGCCGUGUGUUAGGACUGGAUGCACCUGGGGAGGUGUUAUCGCUCAGUUGUGCCUACACAGGGAGGAUUGCCACGCUCUGCAGGAACACUGAAGAGCAGGAAAAAGAAAAGCUUGACUAUUCAGUGUGUAUCUGGGAGAAUGAAUCGUCAGGAGGAAUGGACUGGAUUCUGGAGGACACACUGAAACUCGACUGCAAGUUUCUCACCGAUAAUUCACAGAUUCGUCUAGAAUGGACUUCCGCCGAGGAUAGUACGUACAUUCUAACUGUUUGUAUCGGCAAUGAAGCCUUUAUUUUGGGGUGUGCGUCAAGAAUAGCCAAUACAACUGUGAGAGGGGAGAGUACGUCCACUGGAAAGGAAACAUGGCUGCUUCUUCACAGUGUUCAUUUGACGUCAGAGAACAAAUGGCAGCUACUAACAAGAGCACUCUCGUGGAUACGCAAUGGAGUCCUUGUGGUAGGCCUGGGCACCGAAAUGCAGGUGUAUUCACAAUGGAGAGUAAUGAAAGACGGUACCUUCUCCCCCUCGGACACCAUGACCUUUGCUCCUACCGUAACCUUGCAGAAGGUCAGCGAAGUGUCCAGGGGAGGGUCAGGAAAGCUUGUCCCCUUGUCACUAACGCCAGGGGGUGGAAUUGGUUUGUUUGAGGGAGCCGGAACUAUAGCUCCUGUUUUACCUCAGUUUCAUCCCAAGCAUCUCAUGGAACUCAUGAACUUUGGCAAAUUAAGGAGAGUCCGGGCGAUAUUACAUCACUUGGUGUACUGUGUUGCUGGCCGUGAGGCCAUGGAAGCCGCCACUAAAGCUGUCGUCCAAUCAGCGCACAGUAGGCCACGUCUUAGCAGCAUGAGUAGCAUGAAGAGCAUUGGAAACGUGUCAAGCUCAAGCGAACCAGACCUAGAGGGACUGGUGCCCGACGAAAAAGAACGAGCACUUUGUGUUCCGCCAUUACCAAUGUAUGCUCUGCUUGCAGCUGAUAAAGACACUAGUGGCAGUGGAUCGGCUACAGCAGCUGAUUCAGUAGAUGGAACACAAGGAACAUCCGCUGAUGAAACAGACUACAGUGCCCUGUUUGAGUUAUCGCGUUAUGGCUCCAGUUUUGAAUCCGACGAUGAAGACAACAGAUUCUUAGAUAAAAAGAGAGCCAAGAGCAGCCCAACUCAUGUGGCACAGGCUGGUAGUCCGGUGCACUUCGGCUUGGCACAGGCUCAGUUGCUUUCCCAUCAGCUAAGCAGGAAACCUCUUCCCGGCUUGACCAGCAUUGAACAACUGGAACUGUUGGCUCUGGCAGAUACCUUUGCCUCAACCAAGCUCGACUUGGAGGAAAGUCCUGGUUCAAUUGAAAGAGGAGUGAAGUUUGCGAAGAAAGAGGAGGAAAGUUACAGCAGCGUAGGUGGUCUGAUGGGAGGUCCCGGUGGAGGCGGAGGUGGAUACGCUACAACAGGAAGCAUUGGAGCAACAGCAGGGAGUGGCGGAGAUGCUGUGGAUGAGUGUGGGUUGCGCUUUUUACUUGCCAUGAGACAUCAUACCUGCCUGAUGAGGUCACUGCCUCCUAAACACAGGGCAGUGCUGGAGGAAAGGGGCUUGUCAUCAUCAUAUUACGGAUGGGCGUUUCAUUCUGAAUCCGAGGAGGAAUUAUUAGCCAUGGUUCCUCCCGUGCUGAGAGGUGAGGCCACUUGGUCGGAACUGAGACGUUACGGCAUUGGGUGGUGGGUGAGGAGCAAUGAUACGCUGAGAAGGCUGAUAGAGAAGACUGCUAAAGCGCAGUUUUCAAAGAACCAAGAUCCCAUUGACUGUGCUCUGUUUUACCUGGCCAUGAAGAAAAAGAAUGUAAUCUGUGGGUUGUACAGAACUGUAAGAGACACGAAGAUGUCGCAGUUUUUUGCUCGGGAUUUUACACAAGACAGAUGGCGCAAGGCAGCUCUCAAGAAUGCUUAUUCUUUGUUAGGAAAGCAGAGAUUUGAUCACGCCGCAGCGUUCUUCCUUUUGGCUGGCUCUUUGUGGGAUGCGAUACAGGUUUGCAUCAGUCGAUUGCAAGACGUUCAACUAGCCAUGGUCCUCGCUCGGCUGUAUGAGGAAGACGCUUCAGGGGGGGCCCUCUACACUCGCAUCUUAAAGGAGUGUUUGCUAGGUCAAGGUGGUAGUGCGCAUGAGCCAACUCAGGACCCAUUCCUCAGAAGCAUCGCUUACUGGAUCUUGAAAGACUACAACCAAGCAUUGGAAACAUUGAUAUUUGAACCAACAGGACACAAGUCCCAGGAGAAAAAAUGCAAUUCUUUAGCCGCCAGCGGUAAUCCUGAUGUCUUCAAUUUUUAUCUCUACCUGCGCAAACAUCCCCUGAUUAAAAGAAGACGAUUCAUGUAUGAACACGACAACAAGAUCAAAAUGAAAUCAGGUGUGAGAAACCUUUAUCUCAGACAGGGAAGCAUCCGCAAAGAGGAAAUACUUGACGAACCUUUGACGCCCAUGGAGAGGCAACUGUUUUUCAAGACUGCUCACGCGCAUUUGAAUUCUGGAUGUCCCGCUUUAGCGCUGCAGGUAUUGAUGGAGCUUCCAGCUACUGACAUAUCUGCGGGAGAUGCCAGCACUGUUGCGGAAGGUGAUUCCCCCCUGGAGGACACUAGCAACAUGGCAGACGAUGUGACAGGUGAUAUGAUCAGCACAGGAACACUCGGCGAUUUUUCCUUCGGUGGCGCUGAUACAGCCGUGAAUGGGAGAGCUGAUGACUUCGAUUGGAGUAAGCCAGUCUCGUCCAAGCUUGGUGGCGAUUCAGCGGCUGAUUUUGACUGGAGUCAGCCUUUAGCGCCUGAUCUAGGAGGUGGAAGUGUCGACGAUUUUGAUUGGUCAAAACCUGUGUCGUCUAAAUUGAGUGGUGACGGUCUUGACGACCUUUCAAAUGGAUUUGAUUGGAGUCAACCUGUGUCCGAGAAGCUGGGUGGACUGGGGCUAGAUGGUGUAAACGGCUUAGAAUCCAACCAAUCAUCUUACCCCAACAAUAGUUACGAAACUAAUGAAGACUCUGAGUAUAAAAAAGACAACACCGCAAGUGAUUCUAAGGUACAUAAUGAUGAACUUCCCUCCAAGCCUAAGGAGACGCGACAUUUGGACGUAGUUGCACAACAGAUGAAGUUUUCUGCAAUUAUUAAACUCUUAAUCAACGAACUACACGGUUUGCCAUCAAGUUGCGAGAUUGCUGAUGAAGAUUUGCGACCGUUUUUCAUCAAGUGGUUAGAAAAAGAGCUCGGAGUGCUACAUAAGAUGUCUGACUAUGGUAUUGUUGCAGAGGAAAGUGAAGAUGAGGAGGAAGACACUGUUGAAAUUAACAUUCAAUCAGCAGACGAAUCGCAAGAGGGAAGUGCGGUAGAUAAAAAUUACAUUGCGUUAAAAAUCGAUCGCUCAGCCAAGCAUAUUCAGUGGCUGAAAAAGAACCAGAAACUUCUCACAAUUUUACUGAACUAUUGUUCGCUUCACGGAGCUAGCGGCGGAGAUCUAGCAGCAAUGAAUAUGGAACUUCUACUUCUCCUUCAUGAGGUGGAGCAGAUGCAUUCCUUGGUAUCUCCCCUGCGUGUACCAUCAGCAGGACCUUCUGUUCCACCUCUCAUCCUGGCCUCAGUAUCUGCUUCCUCGUUUCUGGCCAGCCCUCUAGGAUUCUUACAAUCUCUCACGCAGGAUAUUCUUCGAUUUGUGUUCAGUUUGCCUGGUCCACCAUCCCCCAGCCAUCCGAUUCGCUUGGCAAAUGUGCUGCAUAACCUAACAGGAACCUUGUCAGACUGCAUCUAUCAAAGUUUAACCGGCAUGACUCAGGAAGGGAAUUCUUCGAGUGGGUCAAAGCCUGCCACAGAGAAAAGCAGCUCAUCGGAUGCAAACAAACCAGCAGCGCUUACCGGUGCUCCUUCCAAGUGGCCAGGUGUUCGCUUGCUCCUCUCGCUGCUGGCCACUGAACAGAAAGAUAACAGCACCAAGCUGCGGAUUCUGUUGGCAGAGUCGUGUGUUGCCGUAUACUUGAGUCUGCUUGCUCUUGCAUGGUCCAAUUCUCAACCCAAUCAACUCUAUCGAUUGGUUGUAAAUUCACUCAAGUCGGGCAUGUGGGGUUUGGUGUUCGGUGGAGGCCUGAGGACCGCUGUUCAACAAUCUGCUGGCGUUGGGACUGAUGUCAAAAAGAAGCAAAGAACUCCAGCGGCUGUCAAUCCUAAUGGACGAGGAAGAGGUGACAAGUAUUGGCAAGGUGCUCGGCAAAGAUGGAACUUCAAGCUGUUAGGCCAGAGUCUGACAGAAACCAUGUCUCAGUGGCUGUCAACUGAUGUGAAACCUGUUUACGUUGAGCAGUUCAUUCCACCAAGAAGUACUCUUAUGGAGUACUUUAUCAGCAAGCCCCCACUAAUUGGAGAGAAAGGCGUGAAACAUUACGAUUCUGAAGAUGAUGCAAGCGACUCGGAAGAUGAUGACUUGUUUGAAAGUGACGCUGAAAGUGAUCUUGAGUAUUUCUCAACCAGACGAAGGAAGAAAACUGAAGCACGUGAUCACCUAGAUCCUGAAUCUUAUGGCUGGUGUCUCAUGAAUUACACCAUUGGCAAACUGGUGCUCACUAAUUUACAAUCUUUUCUGCCAGAUGUGGGAUUUGAACUAACCGAUUUACCCUCUCUAUCACCUCAGUUACAUGCGGCUCUGAAGACGGUGGAGCGCUGGACCCAAACUUUCCUCGACAAACUCGAGACUUUCCAGGGACCUCCCCCUGACUUCAUCUCACAGUUCCCUGUAAGCCAAGAUGGAUUUCCAAGAGGUGGACGAGCUUUAAUGAGAUACAAGGCUCUGAUGGAUCCACAAAAUACUCCUUUUAGAUCCACUCGUAACUCUGCAGAGCCUGUUAAACGGUUAUGGCGAACUUUGGUACAUCAAGAAGCUAUACAGGAGAUCUUCAUACAGAAUAUCUUCAAGAAUGACAUGACGACGAUGGAAGAGUUUGAUCACGUGGAUGUUGUAUCAGACGCAAAGCCUGUGAAAGUUUUGUAUAAAGACCCAGAGGGUAUCAACACAUUUUGCAUCAACAAGGCAAAUCCAAACUGCAUCGCUGUAGGGAGUCUCAAGGAUGUAGAAGAGGUUGAUAUUUCUCGCGUGUUAAGUCCUGAACCUCUGCUGUGGGCUGAAGAUGAAGUUGAACGCGAACAGAGUGACGCUCAGCGAAGAAGUGAUGAGUCCGAUUUUAAUCAAACUGGAAACAUCAGCCCUCAGAAGAGUACGCCAGGUGGACAGUCUCUUCACUCAGGCACAGUGCUAUUCAGGAGAACUGUGCAUGGUGUCAAACGGAUGGAUUCUCACCCUCAUCUCCCUUACUACAUCUCCGGCUCUCAAGACGGAAGCAUUCGUAUGUGGGAGUUUGGUCAUGCGCAGGAGAUCACAUCCCAUCGUACAUCUGGUUCGUAUCAAAGAGUGACGAGAGCACGGUUCAGUCCGCAUGGAAACAAGGUCGGAAUUUCAGAUGCCAGUGGUCAGUUGCUUUUAUGGCAAGUUAGUAGUACAUCCACGUCUGCUGAUCCUUUUCUGACUCUAAAGUGUCACAAUAAACAGACCAACGACUUUGCGUUCGUUGGCUCCUCGAGCUUUAUAGCAACGGCAGGACACUCCUCGGAUGGAAGCAAUGUUUGCCUUUGGGAUACUUUAGUCCCUCAGCACAGUUCACUUGUUCAUGCAUUCAUUUGUCAUGAAAAUGGAGCGCCCUGUCUUGCGCACGUUCCUGGUCAGCAACUACUCAUUUCGGGAGGACGUAAAGGAAAUAUUUGUAUAUUUGAUCUACGACAACGUCAACUGCGACACACAUUUUUAGCUCAUGAUGCGCCAGUGAAGAGCAUAGUUGUGGAUGAAAAUGAAGAAUUCUUCAUUUCAGGCUCUGAAGAUGGCGAUAUUAAGGUCUGGGGUUUGUCAGUACAUGAAGAGUUAGAGUGUUACCCAAAAGAACAUGGCAAAGGGGCUUAUCUUCUCAAGUACGGGACUCAGGGUGUGGCUCUUAUGAACCUCCACAAUGGACAGUUGUUCUCUUGUGGGGGAGAUGGUACAGUGAAAUGGAGGCAGCUCUCAGUUAGAGAAACUAUUGUCAAUAGCAAACUGCUUUGAGAUGGAUUCUUGAUCUCACAAUAUUCGUUUUGUGAGAAUUGGGGUGACAAAGAAACCUUCAAGGAAUAAAUUAAUGGCAAGCAGUUUUAACUGCUGCAGUUGCAUUGACAGAAGCGGAUUCUCAGCUAUCUUUUGGUUGUCGUUUGUUGCUGAAACUUUUUUUGUACUGCUUCAAAUGACUGACAAUGUAUUCAUGUCGGGAAGGCUGAUAUUGAAAAGCGAUAAUGGUCAUCUUAAAUGGUUUAAAAUGCAAUGAGCACUGUUGCAAAUAAAGAAUAAUAGAGAAUUCUAAUCUCUAACUAUACAAUAAAUAUAGGUCGAAGAUAAUUUUUAUCACAAUAGUCACUGCCGAGUUGAGUAGGAGAUUUGAGGAAAACUAGGAUUUACCUUCAUAUUUCCUUAUAAUAGUUUUCAUUUGUUAUUUCUUCACACAAAUUGUGUUUGUUUGGUAUGAUAAAUACAUUGAUAUUCUAAAAGCAGGUGUAGAAACAAUAAUUUAUAUAAUUAAUCUGAUGAACUUAUUUAUAACAUUUUAUAGCAAAAACAUUGUGCAAUGAGUUUAAAAAUUUUUCCAAUUAGGACAAAACAUAUUUGAGUUUCAAGCUGAUUGUAAAGUUUAAUGUAAAUAGAAGUUCAAAGAUCACUCAUCUUUAUAUAUUCAAAUUGAGAUUUGACAUUUAUGGAUGUGCAAGCAAUCAUUUCUAGGUGAAAGUGUUUACUUCAAAGGAGUGCUUCCCCAAUGUGCUCCAAAGCACAAUACUGGUUUAAAAAUAAUUGCUUUUUCUGGACAUUGAGCUUUUCAUUCUGCAUAUUUGGGGCUCUGUAACAUUUUGCAUGUCCCUCUGCUGAGACAGCAUUUCCCUAAGCUUGUGUCAUUGUGAGGAACAGGAAUUUAA
Molecule: unclassified non-coding RNA, 10271 nt
Organism: Pocillopora damicornis (cauliflower coral)
Lineage: Eukaryota; Metazoa; Cnidaria; Anthozoa; Scleractinia; Pocilloporidae
Source: RefSeq, a predicted model, not a curated record